UCUCUGCUUCGAUCCACGCCCUCUCUCUCUCUCUCUCGAUUGGAAGAAGGAGAGCUGCUAGAAGACCUCCUUAUUAUUCAGAUCCAGAUCCAAAUCAGUUCAAGGUAAGCUCGAUUCUAUUCAUUUCGCUCCUUCCGCUCCUUUUCUCUCGAUCUCAGUUUCUCGAAAAAGAGCUGAAACCCUAGUCUCCGCCCCUUUUCUCUCGAUCUCUCCUUUCAUUUCUCUGGCGAUUUCUGAUCUUUAAUGGAGAGAUUCAUACCCGGAAAGCUCGUAGAUGCGAAAAUACGUGUCUUCUGAACUCAGAAUCUUCAAUCGGCUGAAAUGGAAGCAGAUUCAGCUGCGGAAGCUCUUAGUUGUGAAGAUCUGUGAUUUCCGCAGCCUAGAUCUUCGAUCGAUGAUAUAUAUAGAAGCUGUGUUUACCUUAUUGGAAGGGAUAUCAAUCGAUCUAUGCUUCUUUUUUUGCCUGAUCGAGACAUUUCGAUUUUAGAAGAUCUGCGAUUUCUGAGGUUCUGAUCGUCGAUAUUUUAAGUGGGAGAGAUCUCCUGCCUUUUGCUCUGUUCUUUCAGAUCUAGGGAUUUUACUCGAAAGAAAGCUUUUACACACAUCAGCGGCUCAGAUAUCCUCUUUCGAGGUCUAGAUCUUUGAUCUGAUGCGAUUGGAGUGAUUGCAACUUCUGCCUUGAGCAAUUUACACUCUCAUCCUGCAUUUGGAGGUCAAGUCGUAUUUAUGUGUAUUUAUGUGUUUGACAUGCGAAAGAAUCCGAAGUGCUGUCUUGAAAUGAGGGUUGCAAAUUGGCAAAGGACAAUUGCAACAUUUUUUAGCUAUGUUAUGUCUGCUAUUGGAGGAAACAGUGCUGGUCCUGGUCGGUAUAUUAUAUUAGUAUUGCAGUUUCUUUCCUCUGUUCAUAUUUUGAGCAUGCUCUUGAUAUGGCUGCAACACUUCAUCACCAAUUAGGAGAUACUGACGAGCCAAAUGAUGGCAAUGCCUCAGUGAAGAAGAGAACUAAUGUGUUACUUCUUGGUGAUCGCCUUGGAGAUCUAGGAAUUUCUGAUGGUUUGAACUAUGAGAACCAAAUUGCUAUUGGAUUCUUGUGGAUGUUAACUUGGUUGGACUGCCUGCACUGGUGCUGUCAUGUGGAUUGAUUGAAGGUGGACCCGCCGGCCUUCCUGUUGGACUUCAAAUGAUUGGUGUUGCCUUUGAUGAGCUUUUCAACAUAUUUCAGAUGAUUUCCGAAAAUAUUAGGCAGACAUUCAAGUUUCAGCGACAAAAAGAACCCUAGAAAUUCAAUGUUCAGGCAAUCUUUACAUCUGUUUGAGGUAAUUCGCAUCUUUUUUGGUUCGAUCAAUUAGAAUAGAAUUUGAGAAUUUUUGGAUCGAUUGAUGAAGAUUUUUCUUCUUUUAUUUGCAUCACUAUUAAUUUCACGUGAAAUAUCUAGAAAUUGAGAUAUGACUGUCUUUGUGGGAUUUGAGAAAUUUAGAAAUGAAAGAUAAGUAUCUGAUAUGAUUUGUAUGUGAUUUUCUUUUGAUUCUGCGUGGAAGUAUCAUGUUGUAUGUGACUUGAUUGAUAUUUUUCCUUACUGAUUUAUGAUUUUAUUUCUAUUGAUUCCACAUGGACUAGCUUCCAUGUUUCUUGUGCAUAUGUUUCAGAACUUGGUUUGUACAGUAGCUUCUUUGUUUUGCAAUUAAGUUCAAAUUCGAACCUGUUUUCUUCUUCUUAUUGAUUAUUAGCACAGUAGUCGCAUGUUUCUCAAGUGCCUGUUUUUUUU
This is an RNA transcript of Magnolia sinica, 1765 nucleotides long. RefSeq lists it as uncharacterized. The record is from RefSeq and is a predicted model, not a curated record. Lineage: Eukaryota; Viridiplantae; Streptophyta; Magnoliopsida; Magnoliales; Magnoliaceae. The transcript is spliced from 5 exons.